Molecule: ribosomal RNA, 520 nt
Filed under: uncultured bacterium
Lineage: Bacteria
Description: bacterial SSU rRNA
Rfam family: Bacterial small subunit ribosomal RNA
Source: RNAcentral
CCAGAGAACUUAGCAGAGAUGCUUUGGUGCCUUCGGGAACUCUGAGACAGGUGCUGCAUGGCUGUCGUCAGCUCGUGUUGUGAAAUGUUGGGUUAAGUCCCGCAACGAGCGCAACCCUUAUCCUUUGUUGCCAGCGGCUCGGCCGGGAACUCAAAGGAGACUGCCGGUGAUAACCGGAGGAAGGUGGGGAUGACGUCAAGUCAUCAUGGCCCUUACGGCCAGGGCUACACACGUGCUACAAUGGCGCAUACAAAGAGAAGCGACCUCGCGAGAGCAAGCGGACCUCAUAAAGUGCGUCGUAGUCCGGAUUGGAGUCUGCAACUCGACUCCAUGAAGUCGGAAUCGCUAGUAAUCGUAGAUCAGAAUGCUACGGUGAAUACGUUCCCGGGCCUUGUACACACCGCCCGUCACACCAUGGGAGUGGGUUGCAAAAGAAGUAGGUAGCUUAACCUUCGGGAGGGCGCUUACCACUUUGUGAUUCAUGACUGGGGUGAAGUCGUAACAAGGUAAGCGUAGCGAG